UCCAUGUUAUGGCUAUGAACUUCAAACAUACUUUCAGGGGAGAUACUUCACAAUUUAAAAUCAAAAGCACCUGAUAGUAUUCAUUAAUAAGAAUGAGCCAAAUAGUGACUAUUUAGGAAACAUUUUCCUCUAAGAUAAACAGCAAUACCUGAAGGAAAGAAUGGAGAUAAGGAAAGAAACUGUGUCAUUAGUGUGUGUGCUGCUCUGCAAGGCAAAAAGUGAUGCCUCUGUGCCUGUUAAACGAGCUGAUGCUGACCUGCCUUCCUGACUUCAGUGUUCCAAAGAUGGGAUAUUUUAGCUGCCUGAGCUCUGAAUUAGUGAAUUUGGCCUGGUUGCCUGAGCAGCUCUCAGGCUGGACUUUGUGUGCAGGUCCAUGUGUUACACAGCAGUGCACCCACAACCCCAACACCUGAAUCUCACAACACAGUCAUAUUAAGAAUGAUAAUCAACUGGAGUAUCUAUUGACAAUUUUUCCAUCAGGGAUAACAUCAGAAAAACUGAUCAAUUUUUGCAAGAAAUACAGUGUAAUUUUAAUGUCAAAAAGCCCAUUCAGAUAGGAAAGUAAAGAAACUGUUAAUAUCAAGAAGUAGUUUCCAUAGACUAAGACCUUCCAGCAGGAGUGAAUUGCCUUCAUAGUGUAUUUUAGUACUUUUAGGGCUUUUUCUCUCCCUCAGAUCUCAGCAAAGAGCUACAGCUGAUGAGGGUGGACUCAUUCUGUAGGUAGUGUCCACAUGGUUCGAAAUUAUGGUAGAACAGAUUAGUAGCUAUGACAAAUAGGAAGGAAAAGAGUUAAAAAAAAAAAACAACAAGCAUCUAAAUAGUGACAAUCAGACAGUUUUGUUAGUAUUGUCAUGGGUUUUGCCAUGAUAACCUCUGCAGUGAUGUCUACAAGAGCAACAGAAUGCUCCAUGUGUUGUAAGAUGGUCUCUUAUUCACAGUAUCUUGGUUCAAGCUAGGAAGUUUGAAAUCCUUGGAUUUUUUGGGUAGCUAUGACAAAUAGGAAGGAAAAGAGUUAAAAAAAAAAAACAACAAGCAUCUAAAUAGUGACA
RNAcentral lists this long non-coding RNA (1049 nucleotides) under Ficedula albicollis (Collared flycatcher). Its description in RNAcentral is "lncRNA (ENSFALG00000028107.1)". The record is from RNAcentral. Lineage: Eukaryota; Metazoa; Chordata; Aves; Passeriformes; Muscicapidae.